UACGGAGGAUGCGAGCGUUAUCUGGAUUUAUUGGGUUUAAAGGGUGCGUAGGUGGCUGAUUAAGUCAGUGGUGAAAGUUUGUCGCCCAACGAUAAAAUUGCCAUUGAAACUGGUUAGCUUGAGUAUGCUUGAGGUAGGCGGAAUGCGUAGUGUAGCGGUGAAAUGCAUAGAUAUUACGCAGAACUCCAGUUGCGAAGGCAGCUUACUAAACCAUAACUGACACUGAAGCACGAAAGCGAGGGUAUCAAAC
RNAcentral lists this ribosomal RNA (250 nucleotides) under uncultured bacterium. RNAcentral describes it as "partial 16S ribosomal RNA". It matches the Rfam family "Bacterial small subunit ribosomal RNA", at positions 524 to 773 of the family's 1533-position model. The record is from RNAcentral.